UUCAGCCUCCUCGGCCUUCCUUCUCGGCCUUGUCAAUCUUCUCAAAUUUUCUCUCCGAUCUUCUUGGAUUUUCUCCUCGACCUUUCGUCUUAGCCUUAUUCAUCUUCCCAAAUUUUCUCCUCGAUCUAUUUGGAUUUUCUUCUCAGCCUUCUUUCUCGACUUUGUCACCCUUCUCGAAUUUUCUCUUCGACUUUUCUUCUCGAUCUUAUCAGCCUUCUUAGAUUUUCUCCUUCCCCUUUCUUCUCGGCCUUGUCGAAUUUUCUCCUCGACCUUCUCAGAUUUCUUCCUCGGCCUUCUUUCUCGAUUUUAUCGAUCUUCUCGGAUUUCCUCUUCGACUUUCCUUUUUAGUCUUAUAAAUCUUUUUAGAUUUCCUCCUCGGCCUUUUCGAAUUUUCUCUUCGACCUUUCUUCUCAACCUUGUAACCUCUUGGAAUUUUCUUCUCAUCCUUCCUUAGCGCCACUACGAGAAAUUAACAUAUUAGCGACAGCAUUUUCGCCGUCUCUAUUAAUCGAUAUUAGCAACGGUAUUACCAAUGAAAAAUUAUCUGUCGCUAAUGACAGUUUUAUCGACGGCUAUUAGUGACAGUAAAAAAGCCAUCACUAAUAAAUAUUUUUACCGACAACCAAUUACGAUCAAAAAAUAAGCCAUCAUAAAAAUAUUUAUUAAACUU
RNAcentral lists this long non-coding RNA (670 nucleotides) under Elaeis guineensis (African oil palm). Its description in RNAcentral is "long non-coding RNA (EGUI_LNC005713)". Lineage: Eukaryota; Viridiplantae; Streptophyta; Magnoliopsida; Arecales; Arecaceae. The record is from RNAcentral.